CUCAGGUCAGUAGUGAGUUAACGCUGUAUGUGAGCUGUACGCCACACGGACUGCUUUGUUGACCGUUGUUGAUCCGCGUUGAGGAGCAGCGCAUAGUUUAUUACUCUUGGACUACUUGGAUUGCGAGCUUGGUGGAUUAUAUUUUGGUUUUAGUUUAAACUUAAACUGUUGGAUGUUUUCAGUGAAUUUUUAGUGAAACAUAAGUGGCAAAGAAGUUCAAAAAAGUCGUGAUUUUUUUGGAUAUCCUGCAUUGGUUUAACAGUGACUGAAGUUAAGUCACUUUUGACCUAAGAAAACGAAGGAAAACUGAAACGGAAUGAAACGUGAAUAAUAAAAGCCCGCACACAGGAGUGUAGUGUUUUGUAUGUUUAUCUAGACAGAAGGGAGAGAAGCGCAAGAGAAUUAGACGAACGAACCUCAAAGGAGAAGAGAAGCAUAAUGGUCGAGUACGCCUGAACGAAGGAAAUACGCCUGAAGAAAAAAACGUGAUGAAUUGAUUCAUACGCGCGCAACUUGGGCAUAAAAAGUGAAUAAAUUUUGAAGAAAUGCGCGCGAGCACCUUCAAUUGCAAAAUGAUCGAUAAUUUAAAUUGAAUGUGAAUUCGUUACUUUUCAUCGGUUUGACAUGUGUACGGCUUUAUUGAGUUAAAAAAACGCAAUGAAUAAAUAGUCAAAGUACUCGUUCGUGCCUUAGGAAAAAAAAAGCAAAACAGCUUCAAACAAAUUCAAUGUUUGUGUACAAAACAUGUUUAUUGUGAUGAGCAAAUGCAAAGCAGUGAUUGUCUGAGCCCGGAAUUACGACACAUGCAAUUCGUAGGAAAUAAUUAUUUAUGAGCAGUGAAGUAAAAGUGAAUCCUUUCUAUUGAGCUUUGUGGCGGGUUUUAUUUUCGACUGCAAUUUGGAUAUUCAUGACUGGUGGGUAGCCUUCGUUCGCGCCGCUGAUCAAAGCAAGCGCGUGAGUUUGCACACGGAAGAAGCGCGCAAAUAAAUUCGUUGUUUUCGCAAAGCCUACUCGAGCGGCACAUUGGAAGACAUUUGGAGAGUGGCAAUUUCAAUCAACAAGAUUUCGGAUCCAGAGCACAGCGGACAGCAUCCAUUUUUCCAACACAAGUCGUGAACCAAGCGGGAAAAUGAUGCGUUCGGGCGGUGCUGAUCUACACCAAGAAGUGCACCAACAACGAGUAGCUCGACGGUAGCGAUCAGGUUACCGGCAAUUAACAGUGAUCGCGUGGAGCCUGUUAGCAAAAUGUCCAACACGUCACUCUUGGCCGUACAUCAUUAGACGCAGCGUGGUCGCCCCGAGCGAUUCCAAGAUAUUCAGAGAAAUAUAGCUAUAUUUACAAAUAGUCAAUUAAACUGCUGAAAAUGCACCAAGUGUAACGCGACGCGAGUGCAACCUGUGCUCCGAAAAAGUGCCCCCGAAAGCCAAGUAACCGAAUAGCUGAGUCGUAAAAAAUACAGGGAAGUUGAGCCACAAUGGAAUCAACCAGCAGCAGAACCUGCAGCGUCAUGCUGAGGAGGAGGAGACCCGAGGUGCACCUGAGCCGCUUCUCGAUCGUCCUGAUAGUGUUAGUUAGCUGCUGCUUAGAUAGGAUCUUCGGUUGGACGCCAGAUGUCCUGACCAAGUCAUACAUUACAUACGAUAACACGAUACCAGCCUUUUUCGGCAACAGUACUGAUUACUUUAAGUUGCUGGACCAGGACGAGGGUUCGAUCCUGAUCGGGGCCCGUAAUGCCCUGUACAACAUCAGUCUCGAUCGGUUGAUCGAGAACCCGAACCAACGGGUCAUGUGGUCGUCCUCGGACGCGCACCGGGAGCUGUGCACGCUCAAGGGUAAACUUGAUCAAGACUGCCAGAACUACAUCCGAGUGUACGCUCGGGUCGGCGCUAAUCGAGUUAUGCUCUGCGGAACCAACUCGUACAAGCCGCUUUGCCGGUACUACAACGUACUGCCGAGCGAUGGAUCGAUUGUGUACGAUAACAAUGAAAUGGAAGCUCUAGGACGGUGUCCUUACAAUCCGCUCCAUAACAGCACUUAUGUGUUUACUGACGGUCAUCUGUACUCGGCAACGGUAGCCGAUUUCUCCGGUGCGGAUCCCCUGAUCUACCGGGAACCUCAGCGAACGGAGCAGUAUGACAGCAAACAGCUGAACCAGCCGGCCUUUGUGAGUGCCGUCGAGCACAACGGAUACGUGCUGUUCUUCUUCCGGGAGAUUGCUGUCGAGUACAUGAACUGUGGCAAAGCGAUCUACUCGCGCGUGAGCCGAGUUUGCAAAAACGACAAGGGUGGACCGCACCCGCUGAACGAUCGCUGGACCUCGUUUGUGAAGGCUCGCCUUAACUGUUCGAUUCCCGGCGAAUAUCCGUUUUAUUUCGACGAAAUCCAAUCCACCACAAAAACGAUCGAGGGAUUGUACGGCGGCGUUCGGAAUCAGAUCAUUUACGCGAUCAUGACGACUCCGGACAACGCCAUCGGAGGGUCGGCAGUUUGCGCCUUUUCCAUCCAGGACAUCCUGGACACCUUCGAGGGUCCGUUUAAAUCGCAGCGUGACAUGCACUCCAACUGGAUGCAGGUGCCGCAGAGCCAGGUUCCGGAACCGCGGCCCGGUAAGUGCGUCGACGACAGUCGAACACUGCCAAAAGCAUCGGUAAACUUUGUCAAGAUGAACACCCUGAUGGACAUGUCCGUGCAGUCGCUGCACUCGCGACCUCUCUUCACCCGGGUCAGUCUGCUGUACCGUUUGUCGGCGAUCACCGUCGAUCCUCAGGUGGAAGCUCUUGACGGCACCACAUACGAUGUGGUGUUUGUCGGAACCAACGACGGAAAGGUGAUCAAGUUCGUAAACGUGUUGUCGUCGAACACGACGGAAGAAGUCAAGACGGUAAUUCUCAGUGAAACUCAAGCGUUCCCGCUGGGAACAAAGGUCAACGAAAUUACAAUUUCGAAAAAGAAUAAGAAACUGAUUGUGAUCAGCAACGGAAAGAUCAUUUCACUUCCGCUCAGCAAUUGCAACGAGCACGAGUUUAAAUCUUGCCGGAAGUGUCUGGAACUUCAAGAUCCGUACUGUGCCUGGGACGAUGUGAACCGGGAGUGCCGUACGGUGGGAGAGGUUACUGGCAGUUCGGACAAGUUGUUCCAGCGACUGGACGGAAGCAACGUGAACGAUAUCUGCAAAAAGUACGACCAGCGGGACCAGCGCCAGCACAAGGUCGAAGAUAACGACCUGUACACACGGGUUGAUGGGUCCGGAUCGGCGGAGAAGGAGAAAACCAGCAGCGAGCCCAAGAACGUGGUGAUUAUCCAAUCGACGCGGGGAACGGUUUCGUCGGUUGGCCCGAUCGACAUUGAUAACGAGAUUUCGAUGACUUCGAUCGAGGGCAACGAUCUGACGAACAAGAUCGGAUCGCACCAGUAUCACCAUAAGACAGAUCCCCUCGUCAAGGACGACAUCUCCGUGGCUUCGCUUGGUUGGAAGCUCUACAUCAUUAUUAUGGUGUCUUCGAUAAUAGUUGGCAUGAUCCUGGGCUACUUUAUCACGCAACACGUAAUGAAAAAGCAGUCAUUUCAUGGCAAAGAGCACCGAAAUCAGCUGAACUGGCAUCACGCGAAAAACUUGAGCAUGCUUUCACAGAACAGAACCAGCGGAAAGGACGUAAAUCUGCUGAUGAACACCACGAAUCAGUACGCUACGCAGCAGCAAGCGAUCGUGCAGCAACUGCAACAGCACCAUCAGAACAACAUGAAGGACAACAUCGACUUCGACUUUAAGGAUCGAAGCGUCGAGUGUAAAAACUCAACGGAGAACCUCGAGAAGGACAUCAGCAAAGGCAUGGGGACGCUGCAGAAGGUGAAGAAGACGUAUAUUUGAUAGUAAGACUGCUUUCGGUGAUUGGGAUUAAUAACUGCUCGAAACGCUGCUAGUGCCGCGCACUACAUACUAUAUUUUUCGGUUUAUCUACUACUAUGCAAUCGAAAAAAAAGUUGCAAUAAUCGUCACCACUCCGGAUAAUCACCGCAAUGGGUCGCAAAAUUCUCUCUCACCUCUCUCUGCCUGUGGAUGUCUCUUCUACUUCAACUAAGCGAAACAAGACUCGUCAGUUGAAGACGUUCAAGCCUUAGAAGAAGAUUGUGAAUAAAACAGGUUGGUGUGAAAGAGUAAAAAUGUGAACAAAACGGAGUGUGAUUUGCUGCGCGCGCGUGCGUGAAUGAUUGCCACGAGUGUCACAGUAUGCACGGAGGGAAAAAAAGCAACUACAGUCGAAUGAUAUUUGUAGCAAAACGUUCCGCGAUAGACUGCGUGCCUAGCACAACCCCAGCCCCGAAAUGCCUGCCUAUCCGCGCUUAUCUACUGAAAUUAGUUAAAACGAGGCCUUAACAAUGAAAAACCCAAACAUGUGCCCAUUUCAGACUGGUCGAAAAUCCGCGGUUAGAGAACCUCAAGCCAUGGCUUGCUUCGACCUCAGACUUAUUUUUUAACUACAAAUAAAAAAAAACACAGAAACCCGAUCAAGUCGACGCCUUUCACGAAGCAAGUAAUACAUUUUACACAGACUAGAGAAUACGGCUUAACAAACGAACAAAACUUUCCAGUAGCGAGAAGCGAAUCAACAAUAUAUUUACAACACGGUGCAGCAACAGUGGUGUCAACUUUUCCAAACAAAAAAAAAGCGCUUCGUUCUUCCACGCUUGUGAAGUGCGAGCCAAGCUCGCGGUUGCCUUUAUAGUAAAAACAAAAAAAAAAUAACUCAUCCGGAAGCGGAAAAUUUGGCACCACUUGUGUGCACGCACUUUGGCAUCCUUCAUUACAUUAAUGACUUAGCGAUUAGUUCGUACAUUUUAAAGAAGAAAAAAAAGAAUCCGCCGCACCCACGCGUACGAACAGAAACGAACAUUCGAUGCAAGGCGCAUAUCUUAUUCAUAUUCGAUCACAAUAUUUUUUGUUUUAGUUCGUUACAAUUGCUCAAGAAUCUCAAGCGAAAAUACUCUGCAAAAUGUAUUUUAAACAGCGAAACAGAAGGCAAUUAUAUUUUCCAGUUAGGUAUUUUUAGUUCAUAAUUGACCCACCUUUUCCAGACAACAAAUCGAGCGAACAAACGAAAGCAAUAUAUGCUGGAUCAGUAUGAACAAAACAAAAAAACAACGUCCAUCCAAUUAGCAAUUGUAUGAUUUAUCUUCUUUGUUACUUGACGUACUCAUUUCCCGAGCUCAUAUCAUUUCAACCAGAUUUAGGCUAUGUCACAGUAAAGAGCAUGUGAGGACAGAUUUUUAACAUAUUUAUGCUUAGUUUAAUGAACAAAAAAUGUGAUAUUCUUGAGUAUUUUUUUGUAUUAUUUUAGAAAACUCUAGCAAUUUAUAGGAUAGCGGUUAGAUAGACAUUAGUGCAAGCAAGAAUGAUCGACAUUAGAUUUUACGCAUUAUGUUCGCUGUAAGAGCGGUUUUGUCACGAAUUUUAAUCUAAGCAAAUUUAGUUGGCAAAUAGACAAAUUAUUUUCUAAAUUUAUCUGAUUGUGUAAAAUUUGGAAACGCGCAGGUGAAGAUUUAAAUUCUGCGCAAAAAGCAGUAUGUUUCACGUUUUAGGUUAACUUAACGUAUAAAAUGACGUAACUAUGGAUAUGUAAAAUUGUUAUGAUUGUAAAUAUAUGGAUACAAAAAUUUACAUAAUAAACAUUUUAAAAGUUACA
This is an RNA transcript of Culex pipiens pallens (northern house mosquito), 5682 nucleotides long. It is a transcript of the gene named semaphorin-1A, with no coding region annotated. The transcript has 9 exons. Lineage: Eukaryota; Metazoa; Arthropoda; Insecta; Diptera; Culicidae. The record is from RefSeq and is a predicted model, not a curated record.